UCCGGUUUGUCACCGGCAGUCUCCUUAGAGUUCCCACCAUUACGUGCUGGCAACAUAAGACGAGGGUUGCGCUCGUUGCGGGACUUAACCCAACAUCUCACGACACGAGCUGACGACAACCAUGCACCACCUGUGUACAGACCUUGCGGGGGAACCAUCUCUGGAACUUUCCUGUACAUGUCAAGCCUUGGUAAGGUUCUUCGCGUUGCAUCGAAUUAAUCCGCAUGCUCCGCCGCUUGUGCGGGCCCCCGUCAAUUCCUUUGAGUUUUAGCCUUGCGGCCGUACUCCCCAGGCGGGGCGCUUAAUGCGUUAGCUGCGGCACAGAGGUCGUGGAAGGACCCCCACACCUAGCGCCCAACGUUUACGGCGUGGACUAC
This 377-nucleotide unclassified non-coding RNA is filed under the name uncultured Nakamurellaceae bacterium. RNAcentral describes it as "contains 16S-23S intergenic spacer region". Lineage: Bacteria; Bacillati; Actinomycetota; Actinomycetes; Nakamurellales; Nakamurellaceae. The record is from RNAcentral.